GAGAGGCUGAAAAAGCUUACCCCAAAAUCGGAGAAUGACAUACUCAGCUUCUCAUGGAUGGAAUUAGCAUUGAAGCUGCUGUACGAAACUCACAACGAUGUAAAAACCCUUAUAGAAGAGCUUGGGUUCCCCGUAUCUGAUUGGGAUGAGAAAUGGCUAGAUGAGUACCUGAACAUCAGUGUGAAAUUACUUGAUAUAUGCAAUGAUUUUAGCUCUGAGCUCUCACAGUUGAAUCAAGGUCAUCUGAUACUUCGGUGUGCCUUGCACAAUCUGGAAUCUACAUCUUCCAACCUGUUUGUUCAUGCCCGUUCUUCGCUAGAUGCAUGGAAUCAACAUAUUAGUUCCAGAACCUCCAGAGUUGAAAGCUGUGCUCCUAUUUUGGACUGUCUUGAGGAAUCACUUGAUCUUCCAAAGGUUAAGAACUCAUCCAAAGGCAAGGUUUUGAUGCAUGUGUUGUACGGAGUGAAGGUGGUGACUUU
Molecule: unclassified non-coding RNA, 479 nt
Filed under: Hevea brasiliensis (rubber tree)
Lineage: Eukaryota; Viridiplantae; Streptophyta; Magnoliopsida; Malpighiales; Euphorbiaceae
Source: RNAcentral